Non-coding RNA from Elaeis guineensis (African oil palm), 675 nucleotides. NCBI's taxonomy places the organism in Eukaryota, Viridiplantae, Streptophyta, Magnoliopsida, Arecales, Arecaceae. The record is from RefSeq and is a predicted model, not a curated record.
GAAGGCAGCACGGUGGUGGCCAUAUGACAGCAUCAGUAUCGAGGACUGGGCUGUCAUAUACCGCAAGUAUGAGCAACCGACAUAUCAGGAUUGAUGUGUCCGAAAUAUCAUGAAUCGAACGAGACAGAACAUCUCGCACUGUGGGGGUUCGAGGCUGUUCGCUUGCCAUAUAGAGCUGAUGAGAGAUCUAGAGAGUAACGAACUUCCUGGUAGGAUCGAGAUCUAUCAGCGGACCCACUAGCGACGAUUAGAGGAGUGAACGAUAGGGAGCUAGAAACUUUAUGGACGUAUGAUAGAGAUUAGAUCUCAGUCUACCUCUGAGGACUCGAUCGCACCCAUAGAUGAUGAGAUUUGUGACCAGAUGCUUGGUAAGAGACCCUAUUACGUUAGGGGGCUAGGGCAUGGGAUUAGAGCUCCCCCAUCCUCACGCUCAUUUAGAGCUGAUGUCCAUGUUGCUUGCAAUGCCCAACUGGUGGAGAUACAGAGAUAGACUGCUGAGGAUUGACAGUGAGCUGAUGAAUUGGCUAUACGCGUUGACUCGUACUAGUUAUUCCAGACAUAGAUGAUCGAGUGGAUGACGUAGAUAGAGUAGAUGAUGGAGCUGAUGAGGCAACAGUAGAUCGGUCCGUCAUACUCCAUCCGUUCUCCUUCUCCAGAUGCUGAUGCUUGACAGAC